This 73-nucleotide non-coding RNA is filed under the name unclassified sequences. The record is from RNAcentral.
ACCCCACAGUGGCGCCACUUCCCCGUAGUGUGGGGUGGGCAACUGCCUCUUUCGAGGCAGGCUAAGCGCGCCA